AGAAUCAACGCUGGCGGCGUGCCUAACACAUGCAAGUCGAACGGGAAAGUGGAGCAAUCCAUGAGUAAAGUGGCGCACGGGUGAGUAACACGUGACUAACCUACCCUUGAGUGGGGGAUAACCUAGGGAAAACCUGGGCUAAUACCGCAUAAUACCUUCGGGUCAAAGGAGCAAUUCGCUUAAGGAGGGGUCGCGGCCGAUUAGUUAGUUGGCGGGUAAUGGCCCACCAAGACUGUGAUCGGUAUCC
Molecule: ribosomal RNA, 247 nt
Filed under: uncultured bacterium
Lineage: Bacteria
Description: partial small subunit ribosomal RNA
Rfam family: Bacterial small subunit ribosomal RNA
Source: RNAcentral